CGCAUGGGGAUUGCGAUCUCCCCAUGAGGCGACAGCCAAAGCAUCGCGUCCUUCCACCGCCAAAGAGCGAGGACGCGCCAUG
RNAcentral lists this non-coding RNA (82 nucleotides) under unclassified sequences. RNAcentral describes it as "chrB RNA". It matches the Rfam family "chrB-a RNA". The record is from RNAcentral.